Ailuropoda melanoleuca (giant panda) is the source of this 386-nucleotide RNA transcript. It is a transcript of the gene named pregnancy zone protein-like, with no coding region annotated. The transcript is spliced from 3 exons. NCBI's taxonomy places the organism in Eukaryota, Metazoa, Chordata, Mammalia, Carnivora, Ursidae. The record is from RefSeq and is a predicted model, not a curated record.
GUUUUUCCUUAUCCUUCCCUGUGGAGUCAGACAUCGCUCCCAUUGCUCGAUUGUUCAUCUUUACCGUUUUACCGGAUGGAGUUCUUGGAGAUUCAGAGAGCUUUGAGAUUGAAAACUGCUUACCCAACAAGGUAUCAGUUGUUCCUUUGGAAUAAGACUGAGCUGUUGACUAAACCUUUUCAACGAUAAAAGGCAGAUGGGAAAAGAGGUUCCUGACUUGACACGUGGGCAGUCCUAUAAGGCUAAGGUGGACUUGAGCUUCCGCCCAGCACAAAGUCUCCCCGCUUCCCACGCCCACCUGCGAGUUUCAGCUUCUCCUCAGUCCCUGUGCGCCCUCCGUGCGGUGGACCAGUGUGCUGCUCGCAAGGCCCGACGCUGAGCUGUCC